CGAGCUAGGAAGAAAACCGGGCUUCCAAUGGGCGGGCAAGGAAGAAAACCGGGCAGCUUCACGAUCCCCCAGUCGGCCGUAUUUUCCUCCUCUCCCCACGCUCCCUCCUUCCCAAACCCUAUUUCUCUCUUUUUUGUUCUUCCUAGCGGCGGCGGCGGUGGUGAGGAGCGGCGACCGGGCAGCCGGCGGCAGGGAACUGCGAGGGGUAGCCAGUGCAUCCUCUCCCCGGCCUGUCCUCUCUCUUCUUGUCCUCCAUUUUCUUACGGCAAGAAGCGGCGGCGGGAAACGAGCGGGCUCUCCUCUCUUGCCCUGUCUUCUCUCCUCUCUCUCCUCGGCGGCGAGGGACGGCGGACAGUGUCGCCUGGAAUGGGUGCGCUCACCUAUUCCCUCUCUCGCCGGGCUCCCCAAUCUCUGUUUUGACCCCUCUCUCUAUAUCUGAAGGAGCAUGGCAUCGUGACAGAGGACUGAGCCAGUGACCAAGACGAAGUCCAACAGUAACCCUCAAGUUUGGUGAUUUCGCCCCUAAAAAAUCAGAGGUCGUGGUGAUGAUGGCCAUCAAGAUGAGAGAUGCAUGACGAUUACAACAUCUGGACAGAUCUCUCUCUGGUUUGUUCUAGGCGCAAGCAAAGAUACUAUGCAGUACUUCGCUGCGAUGACAGGGUGUAUACGCCGGACUUGUUGUUGCUCGACAACGAGGAAGCAAAGAGGCGAAUGCGAGACGGGAGAACAAGGACUCCUGCGACGGUGAUGGAGAGGAUGCCAACGCCAUGAAGCGGCUUUUGCGGAAGCCAACGCCAUGAAGCAUCCACAGUUCAUUUGUGUUUAUGAUGUUGUCAUACGCUCCACAUGGUAUUUUACUCUAUGAAUAACUCAAAAGUAUUUGGUGUUGAAAUUAUCCGUGUCAUAUUUACAGUUCUGCUACAUUCGCUUCGGGUACGCUUAGCUUAACUGGCCUGUCGACAAUAUAUAUGACUGUCUGCAAGAGGAUCUGUCUGGGGGACUAGAGUUACAUGCUAAGAAGGAUGGUUCGGAGGUUGCAUGCAAGAUUCUGAAGGUUAUAGGAUCUGGUGACACCACGAGUUAUGAGCAACCAAUGUAUAAAAAGGACAUUUAGUUGGAUAACACACGGUGGAUUUGUGCUAUUGUAGUGCUUUGUUUUUCUGCAAGUAUAGCCAAAUUCUUGGUAUGAUUAUCUCUCACCUAGCAUUGUGUAAGGAAUUGUGGACAGUUAUAUAUUUUUCACCUGAGUCCUGGUGAUCGAAUUUCCACAGCACAGGAUGCAGUUCAAUAAACUUCUGUCGAGAUUACUUAAGUUCACUAUGGAGUAUGGAGGCUACCUUUGCAUUUACGAUGACUUUGUGCAUCUGUGAUCUGAGUACCCAUGCUCAAACCUUGUGUGAUCCUUUCGGCAGCCAACGGGAGUUCCUAUGGUGAUGUGCCCUCACAGCUCUUAAUCUAUGUCAUGUUCUUAUGGAGUGCCUCUAUCUCGUGGCAACUAAUCACAAUGCUCCCUUUUCACAAAUAUGCGACAUAGGAAAAUUAUAUGUACUGUUUUUUCUAUUUGUGUUGCUACACUAGCAAACCUGCAAGUUUUUAAAGCAUUCAUUUAUAUAAUGUGCGCUUUAUCUUUGCU
Lolium perenne is the source of this 1633-nucleotide non-coding RNA. The record is from RefSeq and is a predicted model, not a curated record. NCBI's taxonomy places the organism in Eukaryota, Viridiplantae, Streptophyta, Magnoliopsida, Poales, Poaceae.